CAUGGAGUUUGAUCCUGGCUCAGGAUGAACGCUAGCGGCAGGCUUAACACAUGCAAGUCGAGGGGUAUAGUUCUUCGGAGCUAGAGACCGGCGCACGGGUGCGUAACGCGUAUGCAAUCUACCUUUUACAGAGGGAUAGCCCAGAGAAAUUUGGAUUAAUACCUCAUAGUAUGUGAGAAUCGCAUGGUUUUCACAUUAAAGUCACAACGGUAAAAGAUGAGCAUGCGUCCCAUUAGCUAGAUGGUAAGGUAACGGCUUACCAUGGCAACGAUGGGUAGGGGUCCUGAGAGGGAGAUCCCCCACACUGGGUACUGAGACACGGACCAGACUCCUA
This 334-nucleotide ribosomal RNA is filed under the name uncultured Flavobacterium sp. Its description in RNAcentral is "bacterial SSU rRNA". It matches the Rfam family "Bacterial small subunit ribosomal RNA", at positions 1 to 341 of the family's 1533-position model. The record is from RNAcentral. Lineage: Bacteria; Pseudomonadati; Bacteroidota; Flavobacteriia; Flavobacteriales; Flavobacteriaceae.